Molecule: unclassified non-coding RNA, 929 nt
Filed under: Hevea brasiliensis (rubber tree)
Lineage: Eukaryota; Viridiplantae; Streptophyta; Magnoliopsida; Malpighiales; Euphorbiaceae
Source: RNAcentral
GGCCCAUAGGUUGGGUCGUGACACCAUGCAAGGGUGAAAAAGAGUUCUUGUUGAGAAUUGUUGUUUUAAAGCUUAGAUUUCCUUUGGGAGAUUUCAAGAUCAAGAGUAGAAUUGAAGUUUCGUUCAUCUUUUCUCUCACACUCAAGUUCAAAGGUAAAAGAGCUAAUUCUUUCCUUCUUUUCCAUCUUCUAAGGGGUUACAAACAUUAUUUUAUGAGUUAGGUUGGGAAAUUCUAAGUCAUGAAUAGUUUGAGAAGUUUUGAAUUUGGUAGACAACAUUAAUCUAGAACACAAAUAUGUUGCAUUUUCUGCAUAAUUGUUGUUGAUGCUCGAUGGACCUUGGAUGACCCACGAGCCUCCCCCAUAUUAUGUAUAAGUUAUGUUUAUAAUAUGAUCAUGCAUGAUCAGCGGUGGUAAGACCAGGUGAGGCCUAACAAGCCCCUGACUCACUAUCUAUGAUAGAGGAACAGCAGAGGAGCUUCUUUAUGAGUCGGACACAUUAGUUAUGUUAUGCAAUAAGAGGAAGUCCUGAGGAACAUUUUAUGAGCUGGCCAAAUAGGUUUUGAAAAAUUGCUAAUAACAAAUCUUUCUUAUGUGAAUUGUUUAUGUUGCGUAAAAUCAUGCGAUUGAUGCAUUGCAUAUGUAUAAUUGGAAUAAAAUGAAAUAUGAUGAACUGUUAGUUUAUUCAUUAAGCUUUCCAAAGCUUACUCCCUUCUCUUAACCCCAAGAGCAAAACAACAGGAAUAGAGGGAUCAACUAAGAUGAUAGCCAUUAAGUAGAUUAGCACUAUUUGAUGUAUGUUAUGAAGUUUUGUUAUGGGACAGAUAAUUUAACAAUUUGUACUGUGCUUUGGAUGUAGAAUGUUGUAAGUUAUGUAAUGUAAAAGAUUUGUAUGAACUUUAUGUUCUCUAACUUUAAGCACUCUAUUAU